UACGGAGGGUGCAAGCGUUAUCCGGAUUCACUGGGUUUAAAGGGUGCGUAGGAGGGCAGGUAAGUCAGUGGUGAAAUCUCCAAGCUUAACUUGGAAACUGCCGUUGAUACUAUCUGUCUUGAAUAUUGUGGAGGUGAGCGGAAUAUGUCAUGUAGCGGUGAAAUGACUUAGAUAUGACAUAGAACACCAAUUGCGAAAGGCAGCUCACUACUCAAUCAUUGACUCUGAGGCACGAAAGCGUGGGGAUCAAACAGG
RNAcentral lists this ribosomal RNA (255 nucleotides) under uncultured bacterium. Its description in RNAcentral is "partial 16S ribosomal RNA". It matches the Rfam family "Bacterial small subunit ribosomal RNA", at positions 524 to 776 of the family's 1533-position model. The record is from RNAcentral.